GACGAACGCUGGCGGCGUGCUUAACACAUGCAAGUCGAACGAUGAAGCCGGAGCUUGCUCUGGUGAAUUAGUGGCGAACGGGUGAGUAACACGUGAGUAAACUGCCCUUCACUCCGGGAUAACUGCGGGAAACUGUAGCUACUACCGUAUACGACCCUCGGAGGCAUCUCCCGGGGGUGUAAAGAAUUUCAGUCAAGGAUGGACUCGCGGCCUAUCCGUUCGUUGGUAAGGUAAAGGCUCACCAGGGCGACGACGUGUAGCCGGCCUGAGAGGGGUACCAGCCACACUGGGACUGAGACACGACCCAGAGUCCUACGGGAGGCAGCAGAGGAGAAGAUUGCACAAUGGGCGCGAGCCUGGGGCAGCAGCGCCGCGUGAGAGAUGACGACCUCCGGGUUGUAAAUCUCUUUUAGCAGGGAUGAAGCGAAAGAGACGGUACCUGCAGAAAAAGCACCGGCUAACUACGUGCCAGCCGCCGCGGUAA
RNAcentral lists this ribosomal RNA (484 nucleotides) under uncultured bacterium. RNAcentral's name for it is "partial 16S ribosomal RNA". It matches the Rfam family "Bacterial small subunit ribosomal RNA", at positions 28 to 523 of the family's 1533-position model. The record is from RNAcentral.